Molecule: long non-coding RNA, 888 nt
Filed under: Homo sapiens (human)
Lineage: Eukaryota; Metazoa; Chordata; Mammalia; Primates; Hominidae
Description: HSALNT0011625
Source: RNAcentral
UUCUGACCGCACUAACCAUGCCUAGGAAGGAAAGGAGUUGUUGUUUUGUAGAAGGGAUUGGGGUUUGGGAGAUUAGUCAGACACGAUCAGCAGGGAGAGCACGUGUGAGAAUUAUGCUGAGAUAGGUAACAGAUGAGGAAGAAAUCUGGGCUUGACUGAAGUAAUGGGAGCUGUCUGUGAAGCCUUGCAGCAGUACUGCUCAGGUAAACAGCCCUGGGACAAAGAACAGACUACGGGUAUUGCCUUCUUAAUCAACAAUAAAGUAUUAGUUGGCUUCCAGGCAGACACCACUGACUUUCAAGAGAAAGGCACGGGAGUAAGGAAGUAAAGAAUUCAGUUAGAAAAAUGAAAAAUACUGAUACAGCAGACGAAUUCUGGAACUAACACUUCCACAAAUCAUUGAUAAUCCAUUUUCCAACUUCUUCAAAUUCCAGACCAUCAACAAGCUAUUCAAAACAAUAAAUGUUAAUAGUUUUGGUGGAGUUAAGCAGCAGAAGUUAAAAGCAUUGUGGAAGACAGUAUGGUGAUUCCUCAAGGAUCUAGAAGCGGAAAUACCAUUUGACCCAGCAAUCCCAUUAUUGGGUAUGUACCCAAAGGAUUAUAAAUCAUUCUACUAUAAAGACACAUGCACACAUAUGCUUAUUGCAGCACUAUUUACAAUAGCAAAGACUUGGAACUAACCCAAAUGUCCAUCAAUGAUAGACUGGAUAAAGAAAAUGUGGUACAUAUACACCAUGUAAUACUAUGCAGCCAUAAAAAGGAAUGAGAUCAUUCCCUUUGCAGCGACAUGGAUGAAGCUGAAAGACAUCAUCCUCAGCAAACUAACACCAGAACAGAAAACCAAACACCACAUAUUCUCAUUUAUAAGUGGGAGUUGAACAUUGAGAA